GGUGGCUCAGUGGUAGAGUGCUUGCCUUUUAUGCAUAAGGUCCUGGGUUUGAUUCCUCAGCACCA
RNAcentral lists this transfer RNA (65 nucleotides) under Dipodomys ordii (Ord's kangaroo rat). It matches the Rfam family "tRNA". Rfam says of the family: Transfer RNA (tRNA) molecules are approximately 80 nucleotides in length. The record is from Rfam by way of RNAcentral. Lineage: Eukaryota; Metazoa; Chordata; Mammalia; Rodentia; Heteromyidae.